AAUGAACGUUGGCGGCGUGGAUUAGGCAUGCAAGUCGAGCGGGUGUAGUAAUACAUCAGCGGCGAAAGGGAGAGUAACGCGUAGUUACGUGCCCCAGGGUUCGGAAUAGCCACGGGAAACUGUGGGUAAUGCCGAAUAACAUCUCCGGAUCAAAGGUGUGAUUCCGCCCUGGGAGCGGACUGCGUCCUACUAGCUAGUUGGCGGGGUAAUGGCCCACCAAGGCGACGAUGGGUAGCGGGUGUGAGAGCAUGACCCGUCUCACUGGGACUGAGACACUGCCCAGACACCUACGGGAGGCAG
This 300-nucleotide ribosomal RNA is filed under the name uncultured Planctomycetota bacterium. Its description in RNAcentral is "bacterial SSU rRNA". It matches the Rfam family "Bacterial small subunit ribosomal RNA", at positions 29 to 351 of the family's 1533-position model. The record is from RNAcentral. Lineage: Bacteria; Pseudomonadati; Planctomycetota.